RNAcentral lists this ribosomal RNA (432 nucleotides) under uncultured bacterium. RNAcentral describes it as "partial 16S ribosomal RNA". It matches the Rfam family "Bacterial small subunit ribosomal RNA", at positions 29 to 507 of the family's 1533-position model. The record is from RNAcentral.
ACGAACGCUGGCGGCAUGCCUAACACCUGCAAGCCGAACGCGACCUUCGGGUCUAGUGGCGCACGGGUGCGUAACGCGUGGGAACCUGCCCUUAGGUUCGGAAUAACUCCCCGAAAGGGGUGCUAAUACCGGAUAAUGUCUUCGGACCAAAGAUUUAUCGCCUUUGGAUGGGCCCGCGUUGGAUUAGCUAGUUGGUAGGGUAAAAGCCUACCAAGGCGACGAUCCAUAGCUGGUCUGAGAGGAUGAUCAGCCACACUGGGACUGAGACACGGCCCAGACUCCUACGGGAGGCAGCAGUGGGGAAUAUUGGACAAUGGGCGAAAGCCUGAUCCAGCAAUGCCGCGUGAGUGAUGAAGGCCUUAGGGUUGUAAAGCUCUUUUACCCGGGAUGAUAAUGACAGUACCGGGAGAAUAAGCUCCGGCUAACUCCGUG